GACGAACGCUGGCGGCGUGCUUAACACAUGCAAGUCGAACGGAAAGGCCCUGCUUUCGUGGGGUGCCCGAGUGGCGAACGGGUGAGUAACACGUGAGUAACCUGCUCUACACUUUGGGAUAACUUCAGGAAACUGGGGCUAAUAUCGGAUAGGAGCCCCCGUUGCAUGGUGGGGGUUGGAAAGUUUCGGCGGUCGGGGAUGGACUCGCGGCUUAUCAGCUUGUUGGUGGGGUAGUGGCUUACCAAGGCUUUGACGGGUAGCCGGCCUGAGAGGGUGACCGGCGACAAUGGGACUGAGAGACGGAGCAGACUGCUACGGGAGGCAGCAGUGGGGAGUAUUGUACAAUGGGCGGAAGCCUGAUGCGGCAGCGCCGCGUGUGGGAUGACGGCCUUCGGGUUGUGAACCGCUUUCGCCUGUGACGAAGCGUGAGUGACGGUAAUGAGUGAAGAAGCACCGGCUAACUACGUG
This 468-nucleotide ribosomal RNA is filed under the name uncultured bacterium. RNAcentral describes it as "partial 16S ribosomal RNA". It matches the Rfam family "Bacterial small subunit ribosomal RNA", at positions 28 to 507 of the family's 1533-position model. The record is from RNAcentral.